AAACAACAGAUAAUUACACUCUACGGAUGUUCUGCAUUGGGUUCACCAAGAGACGCCCUAACCAGGUUAAGCGGACCUGUUAUGCACAGUCGAGCCAGAUCAAACAGAUUCGUCGGAAGAUGAGUGAAAUCAUGAUCAACCAGGCCACUUCUUGCGACCUGAAGGAACUGGUGCUGAAGUUCAUUCCUGAAAUGAUAGGAAAGGAGAUUGAGAGGCAAACUCACGGAAUUUAUCCUCUGCAGAAUGUGUUCAUCAGGAAAGUCAAAAUCCUGAAGGCUCCCAAGUUCGAUCUUGGAAAGCUGAUGGAGGUCCAUGAUACCUCUGGUGAAGAUGUUGGUAUGAAGAUUGAUAGGCCUGCUGAGGAGCUGGUAGCAGAGGGA
This 380-nucleotide unclassified non-coding RNA is filed under the name Hevea brasiliensis (rubber tree). The record is from RNAcentral. Lineage: Eukaryota; Viridiplantae; Streptophyta; Magnoliopsida; Malpighiales; Euphorbiaceae.